Molecule: long non-coding RNA, 1928 nt
Organism: Lathyrus oleraceus (garden pea)
Lineage: Eukaryota; Viridiplantae; Streptophyta; Magnoliopsida; Fabales; Fabaceae
Exons: 3
Source: RefSeq, a predicted model, not a curated record
ACAUACUUAGGCACGGGAGGAUUGCACAACAUGCAUCUGUCCGGAUGAAAAAGAGUCAGGUUUUGGAGGCUCAUGUCCCCUCUAGUCCGAUUCAUACGGAGGCAUUGACUUAUGAGGCUCAUAUAUCUCCACAUUCUUCUUUUCAUAAGAGACAUGUGUCAUCUACUAACGCAUCACUACCUUCAUCUUCCCGUAGGCGACAUGUUUCACAUAUUUAGGCGCCAGAGGUAACCGACUCACCUGAGGUACCUAAGGCACCAAUGCUACCCCAAGCAUAAGAGAGACAACAUGCUGAUGAGUUAGUGCCACCUCCAGAUAAUAAGUCAGUGCCACCUCAGGAUGAUGAGGCUGCUGAGUCAGGGUCAUCUCAGGCUGCUGAGGUUGAUGAGUCAGGGCCACCUUAAACAUUUGGAGGAGGCCUUGUAGAGUUGUCAUAAUUGCCUAUUUAACCGAACCAUACUACCAGACAUAUAUGAGACGAAGAGGACCAUGAUCCACUAAAAAUCAUUAACCAUGGGCGGAAGAUUACUUGCUUGCCUUAGCCUACUGAUGAGUGGUUUCAGGCUGCUUUAUCCCUAUCUGGGAUGAAGAAGUUGUGCAAGACCAGUUAUUUUACGACCUACCACGAGAUGCUUAAUGCAUUCGUAGAGAGAUGGAACACUGAGACGUCAUCAUUCCAUCUACCACUUGGUGAGAUGUCUAUCACGCUCGACUAUGUUUCGUGUUUGCUGCAUCUUUCGAUUAGGGGGAAAUUUCUAGAUCAUGGGAUGAUUAUCAAAGAUAAGGCAAUCAAGUUGAUGGUAGGCUAUCUGGAAUUGACCUAGAGGCUUCCAUAAGGGAGAUGGAAAAACCAGAGGGGCUCAUGCUAGGUUUGAAUUCUUGAAAAAGGUAUACAUAGAUGAGCUCCUUAUAACAGAGUAGGCUAAAGGUGAUGAUGAGCAAGUGAGGCUGCAUAGAGCGUAUGUUAUACGAGCAUGCCUGUUAUAUUUCGUUGGCACUGCCAUUUUUGUGGACAAGAGGGCCACUUAUGUGGAUUUCGUCUACCUACGGUACUUCGAGGACUUCAAGCAGAUCCAUGAGUAAAACUAGGUGGUCGCUUGUUUGGUCAACUUGUACUUUAAGUUAUCAGAGGUCUGUAGGUGGAAGACAAAGUAGGUGACCGACAACAUCACAUUACCAAUGGCUUGGAUCCUCCAACACCUCUAGCACUGAUGGUCGUGUGUACUGACUUAUACUGAUGAUAUGCCACAUGCUUAUGCAUUUCCCUCGCAUAGAGGGAACCAGACGACAGAACCGUUUAAAGUGUAUCUUGACCGUUUAGUUGUCAAGAAUAUGCACUUUAGCAUAUAUGUCGAUCACUGUGAGACACAACCAUUUGAUGACAUAUUGUUAUACUCAGGAUGGUUUGCUUGUGGUUCACAUCUUAUGUUUCAUCAUCUUCUUGAGUGCAUCAUGUGACAGUUUGGCUACGCUAAACUAUUCCCAUACACUAUGUUGUCUCUGCUCCUCCUUCUAUGACACAUAGAGAUAUGAGUGCUAUAUUUGAUGAUUAUCUUAGUCAUCUAGUACCAGAGGAGGCAUAAAAUACCAUAGAUGAGAGUGAAUGGAGCUAUGUCGACGGGUACAUCAGGUGGUUCUUCAGGGUGUCACAUCUGUAUAUGGUGCAGGCUGCUCCAGGAGAUCCACCGAGUCCAGCUCAUUGUGAGAUACUAGAGGAGGAGCAUGCACAAUUAGAUCAUGGUCAUAAUGUCUUGUCUAAAUGUCGUUGCAUUGUGGAGAUUGUGCAUGCAGACAUUGAAAAGGGUAUCUUUUCUUAUGGGUAUGGGAUGAUGCAAGUCAUAAAUGCCAUUAUGAUGAAGACAUGAGAGACACUGAUGAACUAGAGACAACGUUGGAGGAUGGGGGUAUAGGAGCCCGAUGAUCUCUAG